This 1285-nucleotide ribosomal RNA is filed under the name uncultured Chloroflexota bacterium. Its description in RNAcentral is "bacterial SSU rRNA". It matches the Rfam family "Bacterial small subunit ribosomal RNA", at positions 40 to 1354 of the family's 1533-position model. Lineage: Bacteria; Bacillati; Chloroflexota. The record is from RNAcentral.
CGGCGCGCGUUAAUUGCAUGCAAGUCGAGCGAUGAGGCCUUCUUCGGAGGGCACAUCAGCGGCAGACGGGUGAGUAACACGUGGGUGACCUGCCCUUGAGACGGGGAUAACGGAUGGAAACAUGCGCUAAUACCCGAUAGGUCCCAGGGUCAAAGCUGGGAUGAAAGCUUUGGUGCUCAAGGAGGGGCUCGCGGCCCAUCAGCUAGUUGGUGAGGUAACGGCUCACCAAGGCGAAGACGGGUARGGGGUGUGARARCACGGCCCCCCACAAUGGGACUGAGACACGGCCCAUACUCCUACGGGAGGCAGCAGCAGGGAAUAUUGCACAAUGGACGGAAGUCUGAUGCAGCGACGCCGCGUGGAUGAUGAAGGCCUUCGGGUUGUAAAAUCCUUUACGGGGUGACGAGGAARGACGGUAGCCCCGGAACAAGCGUCGGCUAACUACGUGCCAGCAGCCGCGGUAAGACGUAGGACGCAAGCGUUAUCCGGAUUUACUGGGCGUAAAGCGUCUGUAGGCGGAUGAGUAAGUUGGGCGUGAAAGCUCCGGGCUCAACCCGGAGAGGCCGUUCAAUACUKCUGAUCUARAGGAGGCCAGAGGGGAGUGGAAUUCCUGGAGUARCGGUAAAAUGCGCAGAUAUCAGGUAGGACACCAGUCGCGAGKGCAGCUCCCUAACGUACACCCCACGCUGCGAUGAGAGACGACAGGUAGGGGAGCGGAUAGGAUUAGAGACCAUUCUAGUCCGAGCCGUAAACGAGCUAUGCUAGGUGUAGGGCCGUAGAGGYUYUGUGCYGGAGCGAACGCGAUAAGCAUCCCGCCUGGGGAGUACGGCCGCAAGGCUAAAACUYAAACGAAUUGACGGGGACCCGCACAAGCAGCGGAGCGUGUGGUUUAAUUCGAUGCUACACGAAGAACCUUACCUGGGUUUGACAUGGGCGUGGUAGUGAAGCGAAAGCGGAGCGACUUUCGGGGAGCGUCCAYAKKUUKYUURYAUGGCUGUCGUCAGCUCGUGCCGUGAGGUGUCGGGUUAAGUCCCGUAACGAGCGCAACCCUUGCCCUUAGUUACAAGUGUCUAAGGGGACUGCCGGCGGGAAGCCGGAGGAAGGUGGGGAUGACGUCAAGUCAGCAUGGCCCUUAUAUCCAGGGCUACACACACGCUACAAUGGCCGGUACAGAGGGCAGCGAAGCCGCGAGGUGGAGCGAAUCCCAGAAAGCCGGUCGUAGUUCGGAUUGCAGGCUGCAACCCGCCUGCAUGAAGCUGGAGUUGCUAGUAACCGCGCGUCAGCC